GAUGAACGCUGGCGGCGUGCCUAAUACAUGCAAGUCGAGCGAACAGACGAGGAGCUUGCUCCUCUGACGUUAGCGGCGGACGGGUGAGUAACACGUGGAUAACCUACCUAUAAGACUGGGAUAAAUUCGGGAAACCGGAGCUAAUACCGGAUAAUAUAUUGAACCGCAUGGUUCAAUAGUGAAAGACGGUUUUGCUGUCACUUAUAGAUGGAUCCGCGCCGCAUUAGCUAGUUGGUAAGGUAACGGCUUACCAAGGCAACGAUGCGUAGCCGACCUGAGAGGGUGAUCGGCCACACUGGAACUGAGACACGGUCCAGACUCCUACGGGAGGCAGCAGUAGGGAAUCUGCCGCAAUGGGCGAAAGCCUGACGGAGCAACGCCGCGUGAGUGAUGAAGGUCUUCGGAUCGUAAAACGCUGUUAUUAGGGAAGAACAAAUGUGUAAGUAACUAUGCACGUCUUGACGGUACCUAAUCAGAAAGCCACGGCGAACUACGU
This 496-nucleotide ribosomal RNA is filed under the name uncultured bacterium. RNAcentral describes it as "partial 16S ribosomal RNA". It matches the Rfam family "Bacterial small subunit ribosomal RNA", at positions 28 to 506 of the family's 1533-position model. The record is from RNAcentral.